RNAcentral lists this ribosomal RNA (425 nucleotides) under uncultured bacterium. Its description in RNAcentral is "bacterial SSU rRNA". It matches the Rfam family "Bacterial small subunit ribosomal RNA", at positions 355 to 772 of the family's 1533-position model. The record is from RNAcentral.
UGGGGAAUAUUGGACAAUGGGCGCAAGCCUGAUCCAGCAAUGCCGCGUGGGUGAAGAAGGCCUUCGGGUUGUAAAGCCCUUUUGUACGGGAAGAAAUCCUGUCGGUUAAUACCCGGCGGGGAUGACGGUACCGUAAGAAUAAGCACCGGCUAACUUCGUGCCAGCAGCCGCGGUAAUACGAAGGGUGCAAGCGUUAAUCGGAAUUACUGGGCGUAAAGCGUGCGUAGGCGGUUGGCUAAGUCAGAUGUGAAAGCCCUGGGCUCAACCUGGGAAUGGCAUUUGAAACUGGCCGGCUAGAGUGUGAUAGAGGAUGGCGGAAUUCCCGGUGUAGCGGUGAAAUGCGUAGAGAUCGGGAGGAACAUCCGUGGCGAAGGCGGCCAUCUGGAUCAACACUGACGCUGAGGCACGAAAGCGUGGGGAGCAAA